CAAGUAUCUUGUUGGCCUGCCCUUUGCUCUCUGAUGGAAUUCAACAAAAUCAUCUCCAAGUGAUGUAGUUUAAAGAUGACUUUACAACCACCUGUGUUCCAGAAGUGGGACAUGACUCUGUCCGUAUCUGGAAAUUGAAGCAAAGUCUGGUGCUACUCAGCUUAUUUGAUGAAGUCUUACCAGAGCUGUCUCUGCAGCUGGUACUGUUGUAUUACUGCAUUGCAAAUAACAG
RNAcentral lists this long non-coding RNA (232 nucleotides) under Capra hircus (goat). RNAcentral describes it as "lncRNA (ENSCHIG00000006282.1)". Lineage: Eukaryota; Metazoa; Chordata; Mammalia; Artiodactyla; Bovidae. The record is from RNAcentral.